ACGUAGGGUCCAAGCGUUGUCCGGAUUUACUGGGCGUAAAGCGCGCGUAGGCGGUCUGUUAAGUGCACAAGUGAAAGCUCCGGGCUCAACUCGGAAAUUGCUUUGCAUACUGGCAGGCUGGAGGGACGCAGAGGUCUGUGGAAUUUCCGGUGUAGCGGUGAAAUGCGUAGAUAUCGGAAGGAACACCUGUGGCGAAGGCGGCUACCUGGACCAGCACUGACACUGCGGCACGAAAGCGUGGGGAGCAAACAGGA
RNAcentral lists this ribosomal RNA (254 nucleotides) under uncultured prokaryote. RNAcentral's name for it is "partial 16S ribosomal RNA". It matches the Rfam family "Bacterial small subunit ribosomal RNA", at positions 525 to 777 of the family's 1533-position model. The record is from RNAcentral.